This 370-nucleotide ribosomal RNA is filed under the name Staphylococcus epidermidis. RNAcentral describes it as "bacterial SSU rRNA". It matches the Rfam family "Bacterial small subunit ribosomal RNA", at positions 62 to 421 of the family's 1533-position model. Lineage: Bacteria; Bacillati; Bacillota; Bacilli; Caryophanales; Staphylococcaceae. The record is from RNAcentral.
UCGAGCGAACAGACGAGGAGCUUGCUCCUCUGACGUUAGCGGCGGACGGGUGAGUAACACGUGGAUAACCUACCUAUAAGACUGGGAUAACUUCGGGAAACCGGAGCUAAUACCGGAUAAUAUAUUGAACCGCAUGGUUCAAUAGUGAAAGACGGUUUUGCUGUCACUUAUAGAUGGAUCCGCGCCGCAUUAGCUAGUUGGUAAGGUAACGGCUUACCAAGGCAACGAUGCGUAGCCGACCUGAGAGGGUGAUCGGCCACACUGGAACUGAGACACGGUCCAAACUCCUACGGGAGGCAGCAGUAGGGAAUCUUCCGCAAUGGGCGAAAGCCUGACGGAGCAACGCCGCGUGAGUGAUGAAGGUCUUCGG